GACGAACGCUGGCGGCGUGCUUAACACAUGCAAGUCGAACGGAAAGGCCCUGCUUUUUUGGGGUGCUCGAGUGGCGAACGGGUGAGUAACCCGUGAGUAACCUGCCCUUGACUUUGGGAUAACUUCAGGAAACUGGGGCUAAUACCGGCGAGGAGCUCCUGCUGCAUGGUGGGGGUUGGACAGUUUCGGCGGAUGGGGAUGGACUCGCGGCUAAUCAGCUUGUUGGUGGGGUAGUGGCUAACCAAGGCUUUGACGGGUAGCCGGCAUGAGUGGGUGAACGGGCACAUGGGGACUGAGAGACGCCCCAGACGCCAACGGUGGACAGCAGUGGGGAAUAUGGCACAAUGGGCGGAAGCCUGAUGCAGCAAUGUUCCGUGCGUGAUGACGGUCUUCGGGUUGGAAACCGCUUUAGCCUGUGACGAUGCGUGAUUGACGGUAAUGGGUAAAGAAGCACCGGCUAACUACGUG
This 468-nucleotide ribosomal RNA is filed under the name uncultured bacterium. RNAcentral describes it as "partial 16S ribosomal RNA". It matches the Rfam family "Bacterial small subunit ribosomal RNA", at positions 28 to 507 of the family's 1533-position model. The record is from RNAcentral.